Non-coding RNA from Mauremys reevesii (Reeves's turtle), 615 nucleotides. Lineage: Eukaryota; Metazoa; Chordata; Testudines; Geoemydidae. The record is from the annotation of a RefSeq genome assembly.
UGAAAGGCAGCUCAAAGAGAGAGAGGGAGAAACGUGUUUAUGCGCUAUAGGAAACGGGCAACGCUUCGCUCUCGCCCGUUUCCGCCGGGGCAAGGCAGCGAGACCAGGGCUGAUCCCCGGCGAGGCGCAGAGACACCGAGAUUCCCUGUGACGAUGGUACCGAUGCUGGGCUCGGCGCUUGUGCUGGUUUUUGUUUCAGGCGCCCCGGGCAGAGCCGAGAUCCUGCAGCCGCGCUCCGCAGAACACGCGGAGGGAGCCGAACUGAACCUCACCUGCUCUCACGGUUCCAUCACCACCGAAACUAUAUUUUGGUACCGGCAGUUCCCGAACCAAGGGCCCCAGUAUAUAGUCUCGGGAUACCAGGGAAUCUUUAACAGCAUCGACCCAGAGGGAGCUUUGCACGUUCCGGCAGACAGAAAAUCCAGCACAUUGUCCCUGCGCAGGGCGAGGCUGGCAGACGCAGCGGUGUAUUAUUGUGCUCUGAGCGACACAGUGUGACAGCCAGGGGCGGUUCCUGCACAAUAAGUAUCUCACUCCGGUGCCACGGACAGAGCUAAGAUCUAGCAGCCGGUCUCAGAGGAAGCUUUGGAGGGAGCCAAACUGAAUCUCUCCUGC